RNAcentral lists this ribosomal RNA (253 nucleotides) under uncultured bacterium. RNAcentral's name for it is "partial 16S ribosomal RNA". It matches the Rfam family "Bacterial small subunit ribosomal RNA", at positions 524 to 776 of the family's 1533-position model. The record is from RNAcentral.
UACGUAGGGUGCGAGCGUUAAUCGGAAUUACUGGGCGUAAAGCGUGCGCAGGCGGUUUUGUAAGCCAGAUGUGAAAGCCCCGGGCUUAACCUGGGAAUGGCAUUUGGGACUGCAAGGCUUGAGUGCGGCAGAGGAGACUGGAAUUCCUGGUGUAGCAGUGAAAUGCGUAGAUAUCAGGAAGAACACCAAUGGCGAAGGCAGCUCUCUGGGACGGUACUGACGCUGAGACGCGAAAGCGUGGGGAGCGAACAGG